Arvicola amphibius (Eurasian water vole) is the source of this 393-nucleotide long non-coding RNA. RefSeq lists it as uncharacterized. The transcript has 3 exons. Lineage: Eukaryota; Metazoa; Chordata; Mammalia; Rodentia; Cricetidae. The record is from RefSeq and is a predicted model, not a curated record.
GCCGAAGACAGAUCCACUUACGCAGGGAGCACUGGAGUCUUUUUGUUUCUCUGCUGCUUAUAUUUUGGAAGCUCCAGCAGGAAUGUGGCCUGAAUUUAAACACAGGGAGGCGUAGCCGCUAACAGGAAGCAUCCAGCAGUUCCUGUUAGUGUGUUCUUCCUGACAGACAAGAAGACAUCCAGUGAACUUCAUCCCACAGUGCAUGCCAGCCAACAGCUCUUUCUUGGAGCAGCUGCCAAAUAAAGAGAAACUUGGAACAGAGGCCAAACGAAGGCACCAGAAUCCCUGGAACUUGAGUUACAGAUGAUUGUGAGCAACUGUGUGGGUGCUGGGAAUCAAACCCAGGUCCUCUGGAAGAGAAGCCAGUGCCCUUAACCAGUGAGUCAUCUCUCC